RNAcentral lists this ribosomal RNA (253 nucleotides) under uncultured bacterium. Its description in RNAcentral is "partial 16S ribosomal RNA". It matches the Rfam family "Bacterial small subunit ribosomal RNA", at positions 524 to 776 of the family's 1533-position model. The record is from RNAcentral.
UACGUAGGGUGCGAGCGUUAAUCGGAAUUACUGGGCGUAAAGCGUGCGCAGGCGGUUCGUUGUGUCGGUGGUGAAAUCCCCGGGCUUAACCUGGGAAUGGCCAUGGAAACUGGCGAACUGGAGUGCGGCAGAGGGGGGUGGAAUUCCGCGUGUAGCAGUGAAAUGCGUAGAGAUGUGGAGGAAUACCGAUGGCGAAGGCAGCCUCCUGGGCCAACACUGACGCUCAUGCACGAAAGCGUGGGGAGCAAACAGG